This 447-nucleotide ribosomal RNA is filed under the name uncultured bacterium. RNAcentral describes it as "bacterial SSU rRNA". It matches the Rfam family "Bacterial small subunit ribosomal RNA", at positions 355 to 825 of the family's 1533-position model. The record is from RNAcentral.
UGGGGAAUAUUGGACAAUGGGCGCAAGCCUGAUCCAGCCAUGCCGCGUGAGUGAUGAAGGCCUUAGGGUUGUAAUGCUCUUUUGGCGGGGACGAUAAUGACGGUACCCGCAGAAUAAGCCCCGGCUAACUUCGUGCCAGCAGCCGCGGUAAUACGAAGGGGGCUAGCGUUGUUCGGAAUUACUGGGCGUAAAGCGCACGUAGGCGGAUCGGCAAGUCAGGGGUGAAAUCCCGGGGCUCAACCUCGGAACUGCCUCUGAUACUGCCAGUCUAGAGUCCGGAAGAGGUGGGUGGAAUUCCUAGUGUAGAGGUGAAAUUCGCAGAUAUUAGGAAGAACACCGGUGGCGAAGGCGGCCCACUGGUCCGGUACUGACGCUGAGGCGCGAAAGCCAGGGGAGCAAACGGGAUUAGAUACCCCCGUAGUCCCUGAGCGGGCUGGCAAGGCGCAU